UACGAGGGGUGCAAGCGUUGCUCGGAAUUAUUGGGCGUAAAGGGUAGGUAGGUGGUCUCAUUUGUCUGGGGUGAAAUCCUUGAGCUUAACUCAAGAACUGCCCCAGAAACGGUGAGACUCGAGUACUGGAGAGGGUCGUGGAAUUCCCGGUGUAGCGGUGAAAUGCGUAGAGAUCGGGAGGAACACCAGAGGCGAAGGCGGCGACCUGGACAGUUACUGACACUCAACUACGAAAGCGUGGGGAGCAAACAGG
RNAcentral lists this ribosomal RNA (253 nucleotides) under uncultured bacterium. RNAcentral's name for it is "partial 16S ribosomal RNA". It matches the Rfam family "Bacterial small subunit ribosomal RNA", at positions 524 to 776 of the family's 1533-position model. The record is from RNAcentral.